RNAcentral lists this long non-coding RNA (1464 nucleotides) under Homo sapiens (human). Its description in RNAcentral is "long intergenic non-protein coding RNA 342". Lineage: Eukaryota; Metazoa; Chordata; Mammalia; Primates; Hominidae. The record is from RNAcentral.
UUUUUUUUUUGGUUCCAUAUGAAUUUUGAAAUAGUUUGCUCUAGUUCUGUGAGGAAUGCCAUUGGUAAUUUAAUAGGGAUAACUUGCAUCUGUAAAUUACUUUGGGCAGUAUAGCCAUUUUAAUGAUGUUAAUUCUUCCUAUCCAUGAGCAUGAAAUGUUUUUCCAUUUGUUUGUGUCUUCUCUGAUUUCUUUGAGCAGUGUUUUGUAAUUCUCCUAGAGAUCUCUUAGAGAUCUUUCACCUCCCUGGUUAGCUGUAUUCCUAGGUAUUUUAUUUUUUCUGUGUGUAGCAAUUAUGAAUGGGAUUAUGUUCUUCAUUUGACUCUCUGCUUUACUGCUAGGAAUUUUUGCACAUUGAUUUUGUAUGCUAAGACUUUGCUAAAGUUUAUCAGCAGAAGGAGCUUUGGGGCUAAGACUAUGGGGUUUUCUAGAUAUAGAAUCAUGUCAUCUGUAAACAGAGACAGUUUGACUUCCUGUCUAUUCCUCUCUUCCCUCCUCUAUUUGGAUGCCCUUCCAGUUUUGCACAUUCAGUGUAAUGUUGGCUGUGGGUUUGCCAUGGCUAGCUCUCAUCAUUUUGGCACUUCCGACUAGAAGUGCGAGAGGGGCCAGUGUUGUUGUUACCUGAAAGGUAAGUGCAGCCCACAAAAAUGCAGUGAAGAAGAAGAUAUAUGCAUAUGUUUAAGUUAAUACAAUUGAGAUACAUUUAGCAGACAGAAUCAAUAGAGUUGAUGAGUGACUGACUGGAUGUGUGGGGAGUUUAUAUCACUCCCAGGUUUUUGACUUGGGCAACCGGGCACUCAAGAAGGAAAAAGAGGAUCCAGGGAGAGGAACUUUUCUGAGGACUGGGGUAGGGCUGAACAGCUGCAUUCGAGACUGGUGGAGGGUGGGCUGGGCAUGGGAUGCACAAAUGGAAAUUCCACUGGGUCUGCAGCUCACACAUAGGCAUGACCAGCAUAGAGAUAGAGAGGCCCCAGUGCUGCUGAGUAACUGUGAUUCCCCAGGUGAUGGCAUCAGCUGAGAAGGGAAGGAAGCCCAUGUGAGGACACUGAAGAAGGAGUGAGCAGACAAUAAGAAGCCCACAGAAGACAGAGAAGGAACAACUAGAGGGAGAAGCCAAGGCAGUUUCUCCACAGACACUACCCAAAGCAGUCCUUCACUACAGUGGCAGACAGACCUGAAAAUUUUCAUCUGAAGCAGCAGAGUGAACUGCAGAGUCAGAGAUAGAAUCUCACUAUGUUGACCAGGCUGGUCUUGAACUCUUGGCACCCAAGCGAUCCUUUUGCCUGGAAUCCCAAAGUGUCAGAUUUACUGAAGAAUAUUUCAUUGUAAUUACUUUUUAUACUUUAUAGGUCAAGAGCUCUGUUUUAAAGACAAAAUUUAUUGAAUAUACUUUUUCAAACAAAGUUUCAUGUUCUAAUCAUUGUCUGAUUUCAGCAUUAAAUGAAACACAGUAAAGAAAGUUGGGC